CGGAGCUUGCUCCACCGGAAAAAGAAGAGUGGCGAACGGGUGAGUAACACGUGGGUAACCUGCCCAUCAGAAGGGGAUAACACUUGGAAACAGGUGCUAAUACCGUAUAACAAUCGAAACCGCAUGGUUUUGAUUUGAAAGGCGCUUUCGGGUGUCGCUGAUGGAUGGACCCGCGGUGCAUUAGCUAGUUGGUGAGGUAACGGCUCACCAAGGCCACGAUGCAUAGCCGACCUGAGAGGGUGAUCGGCCACAUUGGGACUGAGACACGGCCCAAACUCCUACGGGAGGCAGCAGUAGGGAAUCUUCGGCAAUGGACGAAAGUCUGACCGAGCAACGCCGCGUGAGUGAAGAAGGUUUUCGGAUCGUAAAACUCUGUUGUUAGAGAAGAACAAGGAUGAGAGUAACUGUUCAUCCCUUGACGGUAUCUAACCAGAAAGCCACGGCUAACUACGUGCCAGCAGCCGCGGUAAUACGUAGGUGGCAAGCGUUGUCCGGAUUUAUUGGGCGUAAAGCGAGCGCAGGCGGUUUCUUAAGUCUGAUGUGAAAGCCCCCGGCUCAACCGGGGAGGGUCAUUGGAAACUGGGAGACUUGAGUGCAGAAGAGGAGAGUGGAAUUCCAUGUGUAGCGGUGAAAUGCGUAGAUAUAUGGAGGAACACCAGUGGCGAAGGCGGCUCUCUGGUCUGUAACUGACGCUGAGGCUCGAAAGCGUGGGGAGCAAACAGGAUUAGAUACCCUGGUAGUCCACGCCGUAAACGAUGAGUGCUAAGUGUUGGAGGGUUUCCGCCCUUCAGUGCUGCAGCUAACGCAUUAAGCACUCCGCCUGGGGAGUACGACCGCAAGGUUGAAACUCAAAGGAAUUGACGGGGGCCCGCACAAGCGGUGGAGCAUGUGGUUUAAUUCGAAGCAACGCGAAGAACCUUACCAGGUCUUGACAUCCUUUGACCACUCUAGAGAUAGAGCUUCCCCUUCGGGGGCAAAGUGACAGGUGGUGCAUGGUUGUCGUCAGCUCGUGUCGUGAGAUGUUGGGUUAAGUCCCGCAACGAGCGCAACCCUUAUUGUUAGUUGCCAUCAUUCAGUUGGGCACUCUAGCAAGACUGCCGGUGACAAACCGGAGGAAGGUGGGGAUGACGUCAAAUCAUCAUGCCCCUUAUGACCUGGGCUACACACGUGCUACAAUGGGAAGUACAACGAGUCGCGAAGUCGCGAGGCUAAGCUAAUCUCUUAAAGCUUCUCUCAGUUCGGAUUGUAGGCUGCAACUCGCCUACAUGAAGCCGGAAUCGCUAGUAAUCGCGGAUCAGCACGCCGCGGUGAAUACGUUCCCGGGCCUUGUACACACCGCCCGUCACACCACGAGAGUUUGUAACACCCGAAGUCGGU
This 1377-nucleotide ribosomal RNA is filed under the name Enterococcus durans. RNAcentral's name for it is "bacterial SSU rRNA". It matches the Rfam family "Bacterial small subunit ribosomal RNA", at positions 74 to 1431 of the family's 1533-position model. The record is from RNAcentral. Lineage: Bacteria; Bacillati; Bacillota; Bacilli; Lactobacillales; Enterococcaceae.